RNAcentral lists this long non-coding RNA (146 nucleotides) under Phascolarctos cinereus (koala). Its description in RNAcentral is "lncRNA (ENSPCIG00000018891.2)". The record is from RNAcentral. Lineage: Eukaryota; Metazoa; Chordata; Mammalia; Diprotodontia; Phascolarctidae.
ACGAGAAUAGAUAGGUCUUAGAGCCAUUUGCCUGAGGAAAUAGUGUUCUUGAUAGCUGGAUAAAUAAUGUUCAGAGUUUCUUUCUGAAAGAAUUCAUUAAGCUCCACAUCACAAUGUGAACACAGUAAGGAAAAAAAAUGGGGAAC